UCCACACAUAGGCAGCAGAGUCAGA
This 25-nucleotide unclassified non-coding RNA is filed under the name Mus musculus (house mouse). RNAcentral's name for it is "oocyte_clustered_small_RNA8785". Lineage: Eukaryota; Metazoa; Chordata; Mammalia; Rodentia; Muridae. The record is from RNAcentral.